Molecule: ribosomal RNA, 507 nt
Filed under: uncultured bacterium
Lineage: Bacteria
Description: partial 16S ribosomal RNA
Source: RNAcentral
GGAGUUAGCCGGUGCUUCUUCUGUGAGUGAUGUCCUUCCUGCCGGUUAUUGACCCGCAGGCCUUCUUCCUCACUGAAAGUGCUUUACAACCCGAAGGCCUUCUUCACACACGCGGCAUGGCUGGAUCAGGGUUGCCCCCAUUGUCCAAUAUUCCCCACUGCUGCCUCCCGUAGGAGUCUGGGCCGUGUCUCAGUCCCAGUGUGGCUGAUCAUCCUCUCAGACCAGCUACGGAUCGUCGCCUUGGUGAGCAGUUACCUCACCAACCAGCUAAUCCGACAUAGGCUCAUCCGAUAGCGCGAGGCCCGAAGGUCCCCCGCUUUCCCCCGUAGGGCGUAUGCGGUAUUAGCCUGGGUUUCCCCAGGUUAUCCCCCACUACCGGGCAGAUUCCUAUGCAUUACUCACCCGUCCGCCGCUCGCCACCAGGGAGCAAGCUCCCCGUGCUGCCGCUCGACUUGCAUGUGUUAGGCCUGCCGCCAGCGUUCAAUCUGAGCCAGGAUCAAACUCUGA